This 89-nucleotide small nuclear RNA is filed under the name Anolis carolinensis (green anole). RNAcentral's name for it is "7SK RNA". It matches the Rfam family "7SK RNA", at positions 8 to 99 of the family's 331-position model. From Rfam's summary of the family: 7SK was discovered as an abundant small nuclear RNA in the mid-70s but a possible function has only recently been suggested. Two independent studies have found that 7SK RNA binds the CDK9/cyclin T complex (known as elongation factor P-TEFb). Lineage: Eukaryota; Metazoa; Chordata; Lepidosauria; Squamata; Anolidae. The record is from Rfam by way of RNAcentral.
AGGGCGAUCUGGCUGCGACAUCUGUCAUCCCAUUGAUCGCCAGGGUUGAUUCGGUUGAUAUAACCAGGCUAAAUAUCUCCAUCCACUUU